RNAcentral lists this ribosomal RNA (253 nucleotides) under uncultured bacterium. RNAcentral describes it as "partial 16S ribosomal RNA". It matches the Rfam family "Bacterial small subunit ribosomal RNA", at positions 524 to 776 of the family's 1533-position model. The record is from RNAcentral.
UACGUAGGUGGCAAGCGUUGUCCGGAUUUACUGGGCGUAAAGAGUGCGCAGGCGGUCGUACAAGUCGCGUGUGAAAGCCCCCGGCUCAACUGGGGAGGGUCACGCGAUACUGUUCGACUCGAAGGCAGGAGAGGGAAGCGGAAUUCCCGGUGUAGUGGUGAAAUGCGUAGAUAUCGGGAGGAACACCAGUGGCGAAGGCGGCUUCCUGGCCUGUUCUUGACGCUGAGGCGCGAAAGCUAGGGUAGCAAACGGG